CAAUUUGUUCAUUAUCUAAGAUGAAAAUCUCUUUCCAGACUUCGCUUAUUAGCUUCAUUAUGCUCACAAUCUUUCUACUAGGAGUAGUGGUGUCUGCUCAGAAAGGAGGACCAAGCACACAAAAAACUUGUGUUGAAGCAUAUCCAAACAAUACUGGAAAAUGUGAUGCUAAGCAAUGUACAGCCGAAUGUAUCAAAAAGAGGCCAAAAGGGAGGGGUAGGUGCAAAGAUAUAGGCAAAGGAGAUUGGCAAUGCAGAUGCUAUUAUCAGUGUCGUCGCUGAUAUUUGUUUAUCUAAAUUGAAGUUCAAAUCUAUUCUAUUAAAUAAGAAGUCACAACUUCUUUUCA
Molecule: long non-coding RNA, 346 nt
Organism: Brassica oleracea var. oleracea
Lineage: Eukaryota; Viridiplantae; Streptophyta; Magnoliopsida; Brassicales; Brassicaceae
Exons: 2
Source: RefSeq, a predicted model, not a curated record